This 1125-nucleotide long non-coding RNA is filed under the name Homo sapiens (human). RNAcentral's name for it is "non-protein coding ZNF503-AS2:10". Lineage: Eukaryota; Metazoa; Chordata; Mammalia; Primates; Hominidae. The record is from RNAcentral.
CCCGGUUUCGACCGGCGCGCACCUGGGGCUGAGCCGGGUGCGCGCGGGGGUCGGGUCUGGAACUGCCCUUGAAUCGACGGGAUUUCUCUGGCUGUCGUUUGCGCUGCAUUUAUCCGAAUACAUCCAGCUCGCAGGCAUCCUGCAAGAAACGGCUCCCGGCUCGCGUGUACGCCGACACCUCGGCCCAACGCAGGACUCGAGGUGGUUUCUAGUGCCCGGGUGGCUGCAAGUCUGCCCUCCGAGGGAGGCUGGACAAGCGGCGCCCCCAGGUCGAGCGGCCUCUCGCUGCCUGGCAGUGCCUGGCAGCCCCCACCUCUGCCAGUGCUUCGGAAACCCGCCUGGCCAGGUUCGCCCGCGGUGAAAAAUGAAAGCAAAUUCCCCAACAGAGGUAGCCGGAACUUUCCUCGACGAAGGCUCCCUCCUGCGCCUGUGUCUGGAGAACCCCCAGAGCGCUGCAAGUUAGCAAGAGAGAUUCGAUGGCGGCUCUGGAAGGCGCACGAAGGGUGGGGCGGGGGAGCAAAGAGGCCACUGGGUGACCCAGCCUGGUCCGGGGUGAAACGCUAGAGAAGGCGCCUCGCCUUCCUUAUUUCAAUGCAACUCCUCGGCCCCAGACGGUAAAAAUAGUUUCCAAGCUGCCGCGGACGCCCAGGAUGUGUUUGCAGAGAUCAAACUGGGGAGGAGGCAGCUUUGUAAAAGUUGCAGAAAGAUUAGCCGAGAAGCGUCCGCCCGGCGGGGCUCAAGAAAGCUUGGGGACAGCUCCAUGUUCCUUGGGGCGGAAUGGCCCAAGAAUUGGCCUGGGUAACCCCCUGCCCAGUUCUCUGUCCUCACUUCGAGCCAGUGCUUAAAUAACUUCCCGCCGCCUGCCCUGCAAACUUCCCGGCGCGGCGCCGUUGAGGCCAGGACACAGCAAAGGCUAGCAAAACCCCGCCGCGGCGCGCUCGGCCCCGGCCCUGAGAGGCUGCGCGGGUGGGAGGACCAGUGUGGUUUCUGCUCCCACUCGGCUGCCCAGACCCUCAAGACCGAUCCCCCAACUCCUGGGAGCGGGUGCUUCCCUCUGGGAGCCGAGAUCUUGCGGGGCCAGCGAGGGCGCAAAGUGCGCGCGCUGGCCCGCGCGGGGGCGGCCGC